CCCUUAGAUGUUCUGGGCCGCACGCGCGCUACACUGAUGCAUUCAACGAGCCUAUCCUUGACCGACAGGUCCGGGUAAUCUUUGAAUCUGCAUCGUGACGGGGAUAGAUUAUUGCAAUUAUUAAUCUUCAACGAGGAAUGCCCAGUAGGCGCAAGUCAUAAGCUUGCGUCGAUUACGUCCCUGCCCUUUGUACACACCGCCCGUCGCUACUACCGAUUGAACGUUUUAGUGAGCUCCUCGGAUUGUCAGCCUGGCGGUUAAUCCUGCCUGGCUAGCGAAAAGACGAGCAAACUUGAGCGUUUAGAGGAAGUAAAAGUCGUAACA
This 324-nucleotide ribosomal RNA is filed under the name uncultured eukaryote. Its description in RNAcentral is "partial 18S ribosomal RNA". It matches the Rfam family "Eukaryotic small subunit ribosomal RNA", at positions 1470 to 1796 of the family's 1831-position model. The record is from RNAcentral.